This 464-nucleotide ribosomal RNA is filed under the name uncultured bacterium. RNAcentral's name for it is "partial 16S ribosomal RNA". It matches the Rfam family "Bacterial small subunit ribosomal RNA", at positions 29 to 507 of the family's 1533-position model. The record is from RNAcentral.
ACGCACGCUGGCGGCGUGCUUAACACAUGCCAGUCGUACGGUAAGGCCCUUUCGGGGGUACACGAGUGGCGAACGGGUGAGUAACACGUGAGUAACCUGCCCACAACUUUGGGAUAACGCUAGGAAACUGGUGCUAAUACUGGAUAUGUGCUCCUGCUGCAUGGUGGGGGGUGGAAAGCUCCGGCGGUUGUGGAUGGACUCGCGGCCUAUCAGCUUGUUGGUGGGGUAGUGGCCUACCAAGGCGGCGACGGGUAGCCGGCCUGAGAGGGUGACCGGCCACAUUGGGACUGAGAUACGGCCCAGACUCCUACGGGAGGCAGCAGUGGGGAAUAUUGCACAAUGGGCGCAAGCCUGAUGCAGCAACGCCGCGUGCGGGAUGACGGCCUUCGGGUUGUAAACCGCUUUCAGCAGGGACGAAGCUUUUUGUGACGGUACCUGCAGAAGAAGCACCGGCUAACUACGUG